RNAcentral lists this ribosomal RNA (411 nucleotides) under uncultured bacterium. Its description in RNAcentral is "bacterial SSU rRNA". It matches the Rfam family "Bacterial small subunit ribosomal RNA", at positions 954 to 1378 of the family's 1533-position model. The record is from RNAcentral.
GCUAAACGCGAAGAACCUUACCUGGCCUUGACAUGUCCGGAAUCCUGCAGAGAUGCGGGAGUGCCUUCGGGAAUCGGAACACAGGUGCUGCAUGGCUGUCGUCAGCUCGUGUCGUGAGAUGUUGGGUUAAGUCCCGCAACGAGCGCAACCCUUGUGUCCAGUUGCGAUUUUCUGGACAGACUGCCGGGAGCAAACCGGAGGAAGGUGGGGAUGAUGUCAAGUCAGCAUGGCCCUUACACCCUGGGCGAGAAGCACGCUACAAUGGCCGGGACAGAGGGUUGCCAAGCGGUAACGUGGAGCUAAUCCCAGAAACCCGGUCUCAGUUCGGAUCGAGGGCUGCAACUCGCCCUCGUGAAGGUGGAGUCGCUAGUAACCGCAGGUCAGCACUACUGCGGUGAAUAUGUUCCCGGG